Non-coding RNA from Caenorhabditis elegans, 21 nucleotides. The record is from Ensembl. Lineage: Eukaryota; Metazoa; Nematoda; Chromadorea; Rhabditida; Rhabditidae.
UGCAACGUAAGGUUAACUACU